ACACUGACGUCGCGAUGCAUAUCAAUAAGCGGAGGAAAAGAAACUAACAAGGAUUCCCUUAGUAACGGCGAGUGAAGCGGGAAGAGCUCAAAUUUGAAAUCUUCAAGGUUCUACCUUGACGAAUUGUAGUUUAAAGAAGUGUUUUCUGUUAGAUGAGUAGCAAAAGUUCCUUGGAAUGGGACAUCAUAGAGGGUGAGAAUCCCGUAUUUGGUUAUUCAUUCUAGCUUUGUGAUACACUUUCAAAGAGUCGGAUUGUUUGGGAAUGCAGUCCAAAAUGGGUGGUAAAUUUCAUCUAAAGCUAAAUAUUGGCGAGAGACCGAUAGCGAACAAGUACCGUGAGGGAAAGAUGAAAAGAACUUUGAAAAGAGAGUUAAACAGUACGUGAAAUUGUCAAAAGGGAAGCGUUUGACACCAGUGUUGUUUUUCCGAAAAUCAAUUACGAAUGGCUUGAUUUUGUGUUGUAUUGACCUUAUCAGCUUUCUGCACUUUUUUCGAGUCUUUCUUAAUGCACUUUUCGGUUAACAAGUCAACAUCAAUUUCUUUUGUUGUAAAAGAGUAUUCGGAAGGUGGCUUUCUUUUCGGAGAAAGUGUUUAUAGCCCUAUACUUCUACAAUCGGAGAGAUUGAGGUACUGCAGCGUAGAUCCUUCGGGGUUAGAUACAUUUGUGCUAAGUUGUAAGCUUUUCAUAGACAACUUGUUGACUAUGUUUAGUCUUGUAGACUUACUCGCUUAUGCUAUUUUACCUACGCUUAGGAUGUUGAGUCGUAGAGCACGCAG
RNAcentral lists this ribosomal RNA (777 nucleotides) under uncultured Neocallimastigales. Its description in RNAcentral is "partial large subunit ribosomal RNA". It matches the Rfam family "Eukaryotic large subunit ribosomal RNA", at positions 25 to 631 of the family's 3401-position model. Lineage: Eukaryota; Fungi; Neocallimastigomycota; Neocallimastigomycetes; Neocallimastigales. The record is from RNAcentral.